AACGCGAAGAACCUUACCUGGUCUUGACAUCCACGGAAGUUUUCAGAGAUGAGAAUGUGCCUUCGGGAACCGUGAGACAGGUGCUGCAUGGCUGUCGUCAGCUCGUGUUGUGAAAUGUUGGGUUAAGUCCCGCAACGAGCGCAACCCUUUUCCUUACUUGCCAGCAUUUCGGAUGGGAACUUUAAGGAUACUGCCAGUGACAAACUGGAGGAAGGCGGGGACGACGUCAAGUCAUCAUGGCCCUUACGGCCAGGGCUACACACGUGCUACAAUGGUCGGUACAAAGGGUUGCUACACAGCGAUGUGAUGCUAAUCUCAAAAAGCCGAUCGUAGUCCGGAUUGGAGUCUGCAACUCGACUCCAUGAAGUCGGAAUCGCUAGUAAUCGCGGAUCAGAAUGCCGCGGUGAAUACGUUCCCGGGUCUUGUACACACCG
This 434-nucleotide ribosomal RNA is filed under the name uncultured bacterium. RNAcentral's name for it is "bacterial SSU rRNA". It matches the Rfam family "Bacterial small subunit ribosomal RNA", at positions 958 to 1392 of the family's 1533-position model. The record is from RNAcentral.